AGCCUGCAGCCCAGCCCCACCCAGACCCAUGGCUGGACCUGCCGCCCAGAGCCCCAUGAAGCUGAUGGGUGAGUGUCUUGGCCCAGGAUGGGAGAGCCGCCUGCCCUGGCAUGGGAGGGAGGCUGGUGUGACAGAGGGGCUGGGGAUCCCUGUUCUGGGAAUGGGGAUUAAAGGCACCCAGUGUCCCCGAGAGGGCCUCAGGUGGUAGGGAACAGCAUGUCUCCUGAGCCCGCUCUGUCCCCAGCCCUGCAGCUGCUGCUGUGGCACAGUGCACUCUGGACAGUGCAGGAAGCCACCCCCCUGGGCCCUGCCAGCUCCCUGCCCCAGAGCUUCCUGCUCAAGUGCUUAGAGCAAGUGAGGAAGAUCCAGGGCGAUGGCGCGGCGCUCCAGGAGAAGCUGUGUGCCACCUACAAGCUGUGCCACCCCGAGGAGCUGGUGCUGCUCGGACACUCUCUGGGCAUCCCCUGGGCUCCCCUGAGCAGCUGCCCCAGCCAGGCCCUGCAGCUGGUGAGUGUCAGGAAAGGAUAAGGCUAAUGAGGAGGGGGAAGGAGAGGAGGGACACCCAUGGGCUCCCCCAGGUCUCCAGGUUCCAAGCUGGGGGCCUGACGUAUCUCAGGCAGCACCCCCUAACUCUUCUGCUCUGUCUCACAGGCAGGCUGCUUGAGCCAACUCCAUAGCGGCCUCUUCCUCUACCAGGGGCUCCUGCAGGCCCUGGAAGGGAUCUCCCCCGAGUUGGGUCCCACCUUGGACACACUGCAGCUGGAUGUCGCCGACUUUGCCACCACCAUCUGGCAGCAGAUGGAAGAACUGGGAAUGGCCCCUGCCCUGCAGCCCACCCAGGGUGCCAUGCCGGCCUUCGCCUCUGCUUUCCAGCGCCGGGCAGGAGGGGUCCUGGUUGCCUCCCAUCUGCAGAGCUUCCUGGAGGUGUCGUACCGCGUUCUACGCCA
RNAcentral lists this small RNA (947 nucleotides) under Pan troglodytes (chimpanzee). RNAcentral describes it as "retained intron". Lineage: Eukaryota; Metazoa; Chordata; Mammalia; Primates; Hominidae. The record is from RNAcentral.